UACAGAGACUGCAAGCGUUAUUCGGAUUCACUGGGCGUAAAGGGUGCGCAGGUGGCCAUGUGUGUGAGGCGUGAAAGCCCGGGGCUUAACCCCGGAAUUGCACCUCAAACUACAUGGCUAGAGCAUUGGAGAGGGGAGCAGAAUUCACGGUGUAGCAGUGAAAUGCGUAGAUAUCAAGAGGAACACCUGAGGUGAAGACGGGUUGCUGGGCUGACACUGACGCUGAGGCGCGAAAGCUAGGGUAGCAAACGGG
RNAcentral lists this ribosomal RNA (253 nucleotides) under uncultured bacterium. RNAcentral's name for it is "partial 16S ribosomal RNA". It matches the Rfam family "Bacterial small subunit ribosomal RNA", at positions 524 to 776 of the family's 1533-position model. The record is from RNAcentral.